GAAUUUGGAGUAUGAAAGUGCAGUCCAGACUAGCCUGUCUGAACCCGGUCCAUCCGGCCUAAGUACCAGUCUUCCUAUUGAGCCACAACUUGCGCAGGCUGCAAUGGAUACUGGAGACAACAGUGAAGUACAGGAGAGCCUUUAUGUCACCGACCCAUCCAGCCUAGCUGCUGUUCUUCAAUUGGAGGUGACACCAGCGCAGAAAUUGCAAAGGUCAUCGAAUGUGGAAG
Molecule: long non-coding RNA, 230 nt
Filed under: Dermacentor andersoni
Lineage: Eukaryota; Metazoa; Arthropoda; Arachnida; Ixodida; Ixodidae
Description: uncharacterized LOC126547808
Source: RNAcentral